This 618-nucleotide ribosomal RNA is filed under the name Triticum aestivum (bread wheat). RNAcentral describes it as "partial small subunit ribosomal RNA". The record is from RNAcentral. Lineage: Eukaryota; Viridiplantae; Streptophyta; Magnoliopsida; Poales; Poaceae.
AUGGGGUACUCCAAAACUCUAGCGGCUGGCCUGUUCGCCAUGCUUUUCCUAGCUCCAGCUGUCCUGGCUACCGACCCCGACCCUCUCCAGGACUUUUGCGUAGCCGACCUUGAUGGCAAGGCGGUCUCGGUGAACGGGCACCCAUGCAAGCCCAUGUCUGAGGAUGGCGACGACUUCCUCUUCUCAUCCAAGCUGGCCAAGGCUGGCAACACGUCGACCCCAAACGGCUCGACCGUGACGGAGCUCGACGUGGCCGAGUGGCCCGGAACGAACACGUUGGGCGUGUCUAUGAACCGCGUGGACUUCGCACUGGGGGGGCACCAACCCGCCGCACAUCCAUCCCCGUGCCACCGAGAUCGGCAUCGUGAUGAAAGGGUGGUGCGCGCUGGGGAGACGUUCCUCAUCCCACGCGGCCUCAUGCACUUCCAGUUCAACGUUGGUAAGACCGAGGCCUCCAUGGUCGUCUCCUUCAACAGCCAGAACCCCGGCAUCGUCUUCGUGCCACUCAUGCUCUUCGGCUCCAAUCCACCCAUCCCAACGCCGGUGCUCACCAAGGCGCUCCGGGUGGAGGCCGGGGUCGUGGAACUACUCAAGUCCAAGUUCGCCGCUGGGUUUUAA